UACGAAGGGGGCUAGCGUUGCUCGGAAUGACUGGGCGUAAAGGGCGCGUAGGCGGAUUGUACAGUCAGACGUGAAAUUCCUGGGCUCAACCUGGGGGCUGCGUUUGAUACGUAUAGUCUUGAGUGAGGAAGAGGGUCGUGGAAUUCCCAGUGUAGAGGUGAAAUUCGUAGAUAUUGGGAAGAACACCGGUGGCGAAGGCGGCGACCUGGUCCUUUACUGACGCUGAGGCGCGAAAGCGUGGGGAGCAAACAGG
Molecule: ribosomal RNA, 253 nt
Filed under: uncultured bacterium
Lineage: Bacteria
Description: partial 16S ribosomal RNA
Rfam family: Bacterial small subunit ribosomal RNA
Source: RNAcentral